This 162-nucleotide unclassified non-coding RNA is filed under the name uncultured Acremonium. RNAcentral describes it as "sequence contains ITS1". Lineage: Eukaryota; Fungi; Ascomycota. The record is from RNAcentral.
UCGAGUUAUACAACUCCCAAACCCAUGUGAACUUACCUGUCGUUGCUUCGGCGGACCGCCCCGGGGCUCACCAGCUCCGGAUCCACGGCGCCCGCCGGGGGCUCGAAAGACUCUUGUUUUUUCUACGCAGACUUCUGAGUGGCAUUUAUUACAAAUAAAUCA